GGAUUUACAUACCAGGAACACACAAAUAAGCCCAGCUGCAAAACAAGCAGCAAAUCCGUACAAUCUUUGCUCAUGCAAAAAACUCCAAAAAAGAAUAGGGUUUUGAACAAAAACUGAAUCUUCAUACCAGAUCUUUGCUUAAUUGAGGAUGUAGUUAUUGUACCUGUAAAGGGGAAAAGAGAACAAAGGCCUUCAGUUCCAUCCAAUAAAUUAUCUUCCGGCUGCUCUUCAAAUUCACUUGACGCUGAUAGAUUAAUUAAAUUUUUACAUUUUUUGAUCAAAAU
Molecule: long non-coding RNA, 284 nt
Filed under: Olea europaea (common olive)
Lineage: Eukaryota; Viridiplantae; Streptophyta; Magnoliopsida; Lamiales; Oleaceae
Description: long non-coding RNA (OEUR_LNC004712)
Source: RNAcentral